AACGACGUCGUGGAGAGUAGAAUAAAGUCAAAGGCGGUUCUCCCGGACUUAUUGAUAUGUCGUCGUUUCGCAAAAAGUGCAACAUACCCGGCAUCUUAGAAAAGGUCGUCUUCACCACGAGCGCCCUACCCCAAAAUUCCGUGACCCAAGCCUCCUUUCCCGAAAUCCACACUCUUCCCUACCCACCCUCCUAGAGUUUCUGGUCCAAACAAACACAGCCAUGGCUAUGCAAAGCGGAAUAGGGUUUUCCAAGAUCCUGAUCUUAGCUGGAGCAGGUACUAAUCACUCGUCUUUCAUCUUGCAUACUGGGUUAGUUUCCUUGUGUAUUUAGCUGUAUUUGAUCUGAGUGAUUGUUCUCUCUGUACAGGGUAUACUAGCACCAUCCUGCUUAAGAAUGGUAAAUUAUCUGACUUGAUCGGUGAACUUCAGGUACUAUUUUCAUAAUUUUUACUCUGCUUUGCUAGUGGAACUUGUAGCAAAUUUUUAUUUGGUAUUAUUUUUGUAUGAGUUUUUAAUUUUUUAAUGCAUUUGGUAAACUAGGGUUUUGAUCAGUUAGAUAGUUUAUUUAUUUAGGAGCUUGUGUCCUGUUGCUGAAAAAAUUGAUGGUUUUGUGUUUAUUUCUGUUUUGUUUGCAGUCUUUGUUGAAUGGAACCGGAGAACAAUAAGCUGGUGACUUUGAUGCGAUCGCAUCACAGGUAUUGGAAAAACUGCUAUAAAUUUAGUGUCGAAGGAUGCUUUAUCGUGUUCAAUUUUUGUUUUUUCUAAUGGAUAUCAAUUUUCCUGUGUUACUUUCUUUUAGGUGCGCCGACUGGCAGCUGAGGUCCAGCAACUUGGCUCGUCACGACAGAUAACCGUCCUGAAGGGGAAUGACAGCCAAAUUGGUAUCUUACUUUCUCUUAUGUGUUCAAAUGAAUUCUUAGCAUGCUUUCUGCUUUUUCCUCUUGCUUAUAACCACUAAAUUAAUGCAUGGUCCUGCCCUUCCUUUUUGGUUAAGUUCUAAAACUUCUAUUCCUUACACGUAUGUAUUUCAUAAUGCAAUAGAAACAUUUUAUAAUUGGUUAUCUGUUUUCAUUGAUUUUUUUAAUAGGUUUGACAUCACUAAUAAUGCCAGCAGCUACCUUGGGGGCAUUGGGUUAUGGUUACAUGUGGUGGAAGGUAUCCAGAUGAUAUAUGUAUGUUUAUAUUAUUUCAUCCAUUGGUUCUGUGAGUUGUUGUCUUCUUUAAGCAAAUCUAAUAUUUCCUCUUCACAAAUGGUUAGGGUCUAAAAUUCUCAGAUCUUAUGUAUGUGACAAAGCGUAGUAUGACUGCUGCUAUUUUAAACUUGCAUAAACAUCUGGAGAGCGUGACAGAGGCUAUUGCU
Molecule: long non-coding RNA, 1360 nt
Filed under: Prunus dulcis (almond)
Lineage: Eukaryota; Viridiplantae; Streptophyta; Magnoliopsida; Rosales; Rosaceae
Description: sRNA ncRNA
Source: RNAcentral